Molecule: non-coding RNA, 104 nt
Organism: Gloeopeniophorella convolvens
Lineage: Eukaryota; Fungi; Basidiomycota; Agaricomycetes; Russulales
Source: the annotation of a GenBank genome assembly
GCUUGCUUGGCUCAGCUGGUUAGAGCGCAGGUCUCAUACUUCGAUAUGAGCGGCCACAUGGCCGUGCAAUCCUGAGGUCGUCAGUUCGAUCCUGACAGCGAGCA